AGUAGUAUAGCUCAGUGGUAGAGCAUUCGACUGCAGAACGAUAUGUCCCCAGUUCAACCCUGGGUGCUCCCU
RNAcentral lists this transfer RNA (72 nucleotides) under Daphnia galeata. It matches the Rfam family "tRNA". Rfam says of the family: Transfer RNA (tRNA) molecules are approximately 80 nucleotides in length. Their secondary structure includes four short double-helical elements and three loops (D, anti-codon, and T loops). Lineage: Eukaryota; Metazoa; Arthropoda; Branchiopoda; Diplostraca; Daphniidae. The record is from Rfam by way of RNAcentral.